Molecule: ribosomal RNA, 332 nt
Filed under: uncultured eukaryote
Lineage: Eukaryota
Description: partial 18S ribosomal RNA
Rfam family: Eukaryotic small subunit ribosomal RNA
Source: RNAcentral
CCCUUAGAUGUCCUGGGCUGCACGCGCGCUACACUGGAAGUUACGGAUUGAGAUACUACCUUGUCCGAAAUGGUCCGGGUAAUCACCUAAAAGCUUGUCAUAAUUGGAAUGGAUUAUUGUAACUAGUAAUCCUGAACGAGAAAUUCCUAGUAAGUCCCAGUCAACAGCUGGUACUGAUUACGUCCCUGCCCUUUGUACACACCGCCCGUCGCUACUACUGAUUGGACGUUUAAGCAAGAUUUUUAAACACUGACAGUGUGUAGUUCACGCUAUACUACAGUGAGAAGAAGAAGAUCGAGCUUACUUGUCUAGAGGAAGUAAAAGUCGUAACA